This 425-nucleotide ribosomal RNA is filed under the name uncultured bacterium. RNAcentral describes it as "partial 16S ribosomal RNA". It matches the Rfam family "Bacterial small subunit ribosomal RNA", at positions 354 to 796 of the family's 1533-position model. The record is from RNAcentral.
GUGGGGAAUCUUGCGCAAUGGGCGAAAGCCUGACGCAGCCAUGCCGCGUGAAUGAUGAAGGUCUUAGGAUUGUAAAAUUCUUUCACCGGGGACGAUAAUGACGGUACCCGGAGAAGAAGCUCCGGCUAACUUCGUGCCAGCAGCCGCGGUAAUACGAAGGGGGCUAGCGCUGCUCGGAAUUACUGGGCGUAAAGGGCGCGUAGGCGGACAGCUUAGUCAGAGGUGAAAGCCCAGGGCUCAACCUUGGAAAUGCCUUUGAUACUGGCUGUCUUGAGUUUGGGAGAGGUGAGUGGAACUCCGAGUGUAGAGGUGAAAUUCGUAGAUAUUCGGAAGAACACCAGUGGCGAAGGCGACUCACUGGCCCAAUACUGACGCUGAGGCGCGAAAGCGUGGGGAGCAAACAGGAUUAGAAACCCGGGUAGUCC